RNAcentral lists this ribosomal RNA (447 nucleotides) under uncultured bacterium. RNAcentral's name for it is "partial 16S ribosomal RNA". It matches the Rfam family "Bacterial small subunit ribosomal RNA", at positions 29 to 523 of the family's 1533-position model. The record is from RNAcentral.
AACGAACGCUGGCGGCAGGCCUAAAACAUGCAAGUCGAACGCCCCGCAAGGGGAGUGGCGCACGGGUGAGUAACGCGUGGGAACGUGCCCUUCAGUACGGGACAACGUCGGGAAACUGACGCUAAUACCGUAUAACAUCUCCGGAUCAAAGAUUUAUCGCUGAGGGAGCGGCCCGCGUCUGAUUAGCUAGUUGGUGAGGUAAUGGCUCACCAAGGCUACGACCAGUAGCAGGUCUGAGAGGAUGAUCUGCCACACUGGGACUGAGACACGGCCCAGACUCCUACGGGAGGCAGCAGUUAGGAAUAUUGGACAAUGGGGGAAACCCUGAUCCAGCCAUGCCGCGUGUGUGAUGAAGGCCCUAGGGUUGUAAAGCACUUUCGUUGGGGAUGAUAAUGACCGUACCCAAAGAAGAAGCCACGGCUAAAUUCGUGCCAGCCGCAGCAGUAA